GUCGCUACUACCGAUUGAAUGGCUUAGUGAGCUCUCUGGACUGUUGCGCCUCGUUGGAAACUUCGGCGUGCAUACGGGAAGGAGAUCAAACUUGAUCAUUUAGAGGAAGUAA
This 112-nucleotide ribosomal RNA is filed under the name uncultured eukaryote. Its description in RNAcentral is "partial small subunit ribosomal RNA". It matches the Rfam family "Eukaryotic small subunit ribosomal RNA", at positions 1675 to 1785 of the family's 1831-position model. The record is from RNAcentral.